GAUGAACGCUGGCGGCGUGCCUAAUACAUGCAAGUCGAGCGAACAGACGAGGAGCUUGCUCCUCUGACGUUAGCGGCGGACGGGUGAGUAACACGUGGAUAACCUACCUAUAAGACUGGGAUAACUUCGAGAAACCGGAGCUAAUACCGGAUAAUAUAUUUAACCGCAUGGUUCAAUAGUGAAAGACGGUUUUGCUGUCACUUAUAGAUGGAUCCGCGCCGCAUUAGCUAGUUGGUAAGGUAACGGCUUACCAAGGCAACGAUGCGUAGCCGACCUGAGAGGGUGAUCGGCCACACUGGAACUGAGACACGGUCCAGACUCCUACGGGAGGCAGCAGUAGGGAAUCUUCCGCAAAGGGCGAAAGCCUGACGGAGCAACGCCGCGUGAGUGAUGAAGGUCUUCGGAUCGUAAAACUCUGUUAUUAGGGAAGAACAAAUGUGUAAGUAACUAUGCACGUCUUGACGGUACCUAAUCAGAAAGCCACGGCUAACUACGUG
RNAcentral lists this ribosomal RNA (497 nucleotides) under uncultured bacterium. Its description in RNAcentral is "partial 16S ribosomal RNA". It matches the Rfam family "Bacterial small subunit ribosomal RNA", at positions 28 to 507 of the family's 1533-position model. The record is from RNAcentral.